UUGGGCGAAACUCUCCGCACACGUGCGCGGAAAUCACCGAGUGUUGACCCUGCUGAUGAAUACCAAGGCCGACCUGA
Molecule: non-coding RNA, 77 nt
Filed under: Lotharella globosa
Lineage: Eukaryota; Cercozoa; Chlorarachniophyceae
Source: RNAcentral